AACUUGAAAAAAAUAAAUGGAGCCUAACGAGAUUGAGAAGGUUCCGGAGACAUAGCCAGUGGCCGGGUCUUCUGAAGACCACGAGGAAGGAAAUGCCUGGCCGCAUCUCAAAGAACACUUCCGCUUCAAGCAGAGAGGAUGAGACAGUGUGACUAUGGAAUGGAAAGAUGGUGGAGGUGGCUGCCUACAAAAACUCUGCUUCGAAUUUGAGGAAACAUGUAAUGAGGAAACAUCCAUUAAAGUUGACAAACUACAAUAUGUUCACCUCUGCAACCACAAACAAACAAACCAAGGAGCUAUCAAACACCUCUUCAACUUGCAAGCAAGCAAAGAUAUCUGAAACGUAUGGCAGUGGGAGGAGCUUUUUUGUUUUUGUUUUGGUGAACAGAGCCAGGCAGUCGAGUCAGCAGACCGAGACUCAGAUGCUGAAGAGCCAGCAGAGCAGGUUGAAUACCAAGACACCUAUUCCAUCCUGGAAAAUGACAAGUGUCCUAGAAUAAUCAACUCCCUCAGCAUCAACGGAGUGCAUGUCACCUGCUGAACCUCAUUGCAACAGAUUCUGCGUUGGCAGAAACACAUAGUGAUAGCUAGAAAAGGUUGUCCAGAUCAUCUUUUGCCAAAUGCCAUGUGGAGUAAAACGGGACGGUCAACCUUAACUGCUGAAGUUGUUGAGAAUGAGCGCAAACUGCAGUUGGAUCCGUCCAAAUCAAAACCAGUUGGAACUCAACUUACCUGACUGUGGAGAGGAUCACACACAUCAUUCAAGAGAAGGGGGAGGAUGCCAUAAGAAAGGUGUGACAAGAAUUAAAAGUGAAAAUGCUGAGCCUGGCAGAAAUGUCCUUCUUGAAUGAGUACUGCAAAGUGAUGAAGCCUUUGGUCUCAGCUUUGAACCUUCUACAGUCUGAGACCAACAUGCAUAUGGGGUGGCUGCUACCAGUGAUCUUCUUACUAAAAAACAAAACUUCAAAAGGUCGGGAAGCAUCUUGCCAAAUGUGCCUACCACUUAUCAGAGCCAGUCAGAAUGGCAAAUUCAGAGAGAAGUCAUGCGAGUUAAGUGUUCGAUAGGUUGUUCCACAAAUAAUAUGGCUUUUGAACAUUUGUAUAUGUGAAGUUGAAGAUUUUAUAUUAAAAUCAGCUGUGGUGGAUCUUA
Molecule: long non-coding RNA, 1150 nt
Organism: Oncorhynchus keta (chum salmon)
Lineage: Eukaryota; Metazoa; Chordata; Actinopteri; Salmoniformes; Salmonidae
Exons: 3
Source: RefSeq, a predicted model, not a curated record